RNAcentral lists this ribosomal RNA (468 nucleotides) under uncultured bacterium. Its description in RNAcentral is "partial 16S ribosomal RNA". It matches the Rfam family "Bacterial small subunit ribosomal RNA", at positions 28 to 507 of the family's 1533-position model. The record is from RNAcentral.
GACGAACGCUGGCGGCGUGCUUAACACAUGCAAGUCGAACGGAAAGGCCCUGCUUUUGUGGGGUGCUCGAGUGGCGAACGGGUGAGUAACACGUGAGUAACCUGCCCUUGACUUUGGGAUAACUUCAGGAAACUGGGGCUAAUACCGGAUAGGAGCUCCUGCUGCAUGGUGGGGGUUGGAAAGUUUCGGCGGUUGGGGAUGGACUCGCGGCUUAUCGGCUUGUUGGUGGGGUAGUGGCUUACCAAGGCUUUGACGGGUAGCCGGCCUGAGAGGGUGACCGGCCACAUUGGGACUAAGAUACGGCCCAGACUCGUACGGGAGGCAGCGGUGGGGAAUAUUGUACAAUGGGCGGAAGCCUGAUGCGGAAACGCCGCGUGCGGGAUGACGGCUUUCGGGUUGUAAACCGCUUUCGCCUGUGACGAAGCGUGAGUGACGGUAAUGGGUAAAGAAGCACCGGCUAACUACGUG